GCAGAUGAAGAGGCUUGCCACUUAAUGUGUACAGAUGUGAUCAUCAGUGCUCGCCGACAAUGAAAUAUACAAGUGCACACACGGUGAUCUGGUGAACAAGAGGUGGGAUUUAAUCAUCUUCUGCUGACACUUUGUGCAAAACACCAUUAACCCCCAGCGAACCCCCUGUUUUCCUGGCUCCCCCCAGCCCUCAAAGUCUCAGCCCCUCCUGUCAAGGAAAAAAGUGGAAGAAGAAUGUGCUUUUGUUUACUCAGGCAAGCUGAAGGUUGGAUCCAGCCAGGCAAGCACUUUCUUCAUUUCCUGAGAGUAAACUACCCACUUUAAUUACACAUGCUUCGGAAAUCUUUGUAAACGGAUUGCCAUCGGGAACCACAUCUUCUUGGUCCGAUUAUCUUUUGCCUGUCCCUUGUUUCUGCAACUUAUCAUAGAUAGGAUGAGAGAAUUUAACUCAAUUCAUUCCACAUACACUAACACUUAAAAGAAAAUUUAAAAAGAAAAGGUACAUUAUCUUUUCCUGGGCUCUUAUAUUAUGAGGGGAAUGGUAAGGGGUAUGUGUGACAGAAUGGGGAAGGGGGCUUUCAAGGGGGUAAUCAGAUAUAUGCUACUUACCUUUGCUCAAAAGAGAUCUUGCACAAGAAAACAGUGUAUGUGUGUGCCUGUUCCUAAAUAUGUCUUCAAGUUUUCAGCCGUCUCUUUCUGCAAAACACACCUCACAGAUAACUUUUGUAUAGGGAUGUUCAGGAGUGGUUUCUGUAGUGUCCCAGAGAUGCUUCUGUUGGGGUCGCAGUCUUUUUUUUUUCUAAAGGUAUCAGACAGGUUGUUGCUGUGAGUAGGUGAAAGCCAGCACCCCCUCUAGAAGUCCAGCUAUAGUCAAAGGUGUCAGUCAAGGGAGGAAUGAGGUUGACCAGGCCCCCUGCUCACACAGUCCCACCAUCCCGCCUGGAGACGCAGCCACACAAAUGAAGGAGCCUCUCGCUUCCGCCUUCCUUGGUUUUCUGACGUGCUUUUCUCUCUCUUACUUUCUUCCCGAACUGCAUACAAACCCUGAGUGGACCAGAGCGGCUCCUCCAGUAUUUAAACACCUCGCCAGGUCCCUAGUUAGCAGCUUCCUUCAGCUCAUCCAAGAAGCUGACAAGCACUGUUAAAGGAGGCUGUACAUGCUGCUCUAAUGGACCUCAUUAAGUUCUACUUACAGAUGUUCUCUUAACAUAAUUGAUCUGCGAUGAAAACUUUAAGGAACAAUGAAGGAGAGAGGUGCCGCUCUGAACCGGACUAAGGUGCAGAACUGGAGUGAGCAGCCCCCCCUCCCCCCACUGAACUUGAAUGCUGGGAUGAAUAAAAGCUUAAGACCACAAGGCAAACAGAGUUUUAGAUAACUCCUGUCUCAAGUGGAUCACUCUUGUCUCUCCUACAGCCCUUCCCUCUGUCUCCUUGGGUAGUGUUCCCCGCAGU
Molecule: non-coding RNA, 1452 nt
Organism: Myodes glareolus (Bank vole)
Lineage: Eukaryota; Metazoa; Chordata; Mammalia; Rodentia; Cricetidae
Source: RefSeq, a predicted model, not a curated record